AACGAACGCUGGCGGCAGGCCUAACACAUGCAAGUCGAGCGCCCGCAAGGGAGCGGCGGACGGGUGAGUAACGCGUGGGAACGUACCCUUUGCUUCGGAAUAGCCUCGGGAAACUGGGGGUAAUACCGAAUGUGCCCUUUGGGGGAAAGAUUUAUCGGCAAAGGAUCGGCCCGCGUUGGAUUAGGUAGUUGGUGGGGUAAGUGGCCUACCAAGCCGACGAUCCAUAGCUGGUUUGAGAGGAUGAUCAGCCACACUGGGACUGAGACACGGCCCAGACUCCUACGGGAGGCAGCAGUGGGGAAUCUUAGACAAUGGGCGCAAGCCUGAUCUAGCCAUGCCGCGUGAGCGAUGAAGGCCUUAGGGUUGUAAAGCUCUUUCGUGGGGGAAGAUAAUGACUGUACCCCAAGAAGAAGCCCCGGCUAACUCCGUG
RNAcentral lists this ribosomal RNA (430 nucleotides) under uncultured bacterium. RNAcentral's name for it is "bacterial SSU rRNA". It matches the Rfam family "Bacterial small subunit ribosomal RNA", at positions 29 to 507 of the family's 1533-position model. The record is from RNAcentral.